Molecule: ribosomal RNA, 375 nt
Filed under: uncultured organism
Description: partial 16S ribosomal RNA
Rfam family: Bacterial small subunit ribosomal RNA
Source: RNAcentral
GUAGGUGGCAAGCGUUGUCCGGAAUUAUUGGGCGUAAAGCGCGCGCAGGUGGGUUCUUUAAGUCUGAUGUGAAAGCCCCCGGGCUCAACCCGGGGAGGGUCAUUGGAAACUGGGGAACUUGAGUGCAGGAGAGGAAAGUGGAAUUCCACGUGUAGCGGUGAAAUGCGUAGAUAUGUGGAGGAACACCAGUGGCGAAGGCGACUUUCUGGCCUGUAACUGACACUGAGGCGCGAAAGCGUGGGGAGCAAACAGGAUUAGAUACCCUGGUAGUCCACGCCGUAAACGAUGAGUGCUAAGUGUUGGGGGGGUUUCCGCCCCUCAGUGCUGCAGCUAACGCAUUAAGCACUCCGCCUGGGGAGUACGGUCGCAAGACUG